UGUUUGGGAAUGCAGCUCUAAAUGGGUGGUAAGUUUCAUCUAAAGCUAAAUAUAGGCGAGAGACCGAUAGCGAACAAGUACCGUGAGGGAAAGAUGAAAAGAACUUUGAAAAGAGAGUUAAAAGUACUUGAAAUUGCUAAGAGGGGAGCGCUAAAAACCAGUGAUACGUUGAGUCAAUCGCUUUCAGCCCCACUAGUUUGGGUGCGUAAUGGGCAACCUUGCGUGCGUAACCGAAAGGGUGGUUGUGAGUUUAUGAUUCAACGUCAGUCAAGAUCAAUUCGAAUUGUGGGAGAAGGUAGCGAGAAAGGUAGGUGAGCAAUCACUGUUAUAUUCUUGUUACUCUACCUCGAUUUGGAUUGAGGAAGUAAUGGUGCGCCGCUUUGCGGCUUGGUCCUGCGUCUCUAUUGCUCUAUCUGCUUCCAUAGCAAUGCUAUGUUGGUGGAAAAAAGCAAUACUGGGCGCAGUGAUUCUAUGUGCCAUCACGAUCUUGUACGAAAUGGUUUUUAUCGACCCGUCUUGAAACACGGACC
Molecule: ribosomal RNA, 530 nt
Filed under: uncultured soil eukaryote
Lineage: Eukaryota
Description: eukaryotic LSU rRNA
Rfam family: Eukaryotic large subunit ribosomal RNA
Source: RNAcentral